Molecule: ribosomal RNA, 1766 nt
Filed under: human gut metagenome
Description: bacterial LSU rRNA
Rfam family: Bacterial large subunit ribosomal RNA
Source: RNAcentral
AGACCCGAAACCGAGUGAUCUAGCCAUGAGCAGGUUGAAGUAAGGGUGAAACCUUAUGGAGGACCGAACCAGGACACGUUGUAAAGUGUUUGGAUGACUUGUGGCUAGCGGUGAAAUUCCAAUCGAACUCGGAGAUAGCUGGUUCUCCCCGAAAUAGGUUUAGGCCUAGCCUUUGAUGAUGUUACCUGGAGGUAGAGCACUGAAUGUGGAAUGGCGGCGUCUAGCUGUACUGACUGCAAUCAAUCUCCGAAUGCCGGGAUAAUUAAUCAAGGAGUCAGUGUGUGGGUGAUAACGUUCAUACGCGAGAGAAAAUCAAUUCAGACCGUCAGCUAAGGUCCCUAAAUGUAUGUUAAGUGGAAAAGGAUGUAGAAUUGCACUAACAGCUAGGAGGUUGGCUCAGAAGCAGCCAUCCUUUAAAGAGUGCGUAAUAGCUCACUAGUCGAGUGGUUCUGCGCCGAAAAUGUACCGGGGCUUAAACAUACUACCGAAGCUACGGAUUCAUACGUAAGUAUGAGUGGUAGGGGAGCGUUCUUAGUGCGCAGAAGAUAGAUCGAGAGGACUAUUGGAGCGCUAAGAAGUGAGAAUGCCGGUGUGAGUAACGUAAGGAGGGUGAGAAUCCCUCCCACCGAUCGACCAAGGGUUCCAGGGUAAAGUUCGUCUUCCCUGGGUAAGUCAGGACCUAAGGCGAGGCAGAAAUGCGUAGUCGAUGGACAACAGGUUUAUAUUCCUGUACCAUGUAUAUAACUGAUGGAGUGACGGAGAAAGCUAGGAAGAGCUGGUUAAUGGAUUCCAGUUUAAGUGUAAAGGUUAGUGCGUAGGAAAAUCCGCGACAUUAUAAAGACUGAAACACGACGACGAUGAUUCCCACGGGAAUUAAAGUCUUCUGAAGCUAAGCUUCCAAGAAAAACUUCUAAAGAUAUUAUAUAUAUGCCUGUACCAAGAACCAACACAGGUGGUCAAGGAGAGAAUCCUAAGGUGAGCGAGAGAACUAUGGUCAAGGAACUCGGCAAAAUGACCCCGUAACUUCGGAAUAAGGGGAGGUUUCUUCGGAAACCCGCAGUGAAUUGUCCCAGGCAACUGUUUACCAAAAACACAGGUCUCUGCUAAAGCGUAAGCUGAUGUAUAGGGGCUGACGCCUGCCCAGUGCUGGAAGGUUAAGAUGAUUUGUUAGGUGGACGAAAGUCGAUAACACCGAAGCUUUGAUUUGAAGCCCCAGUGAACGGCGGCGAUAACUAUAAUCGUCCAAAGGUAGCGAAAUUCCUUGUCAGGUAAGUUCUGACCCGCACGAAAGGCGUAAUGAUCUGGGAGCUGUCUCGACCAUAGACUCGGUGAAAUCUUAAUACCUGUGAAAAUGCAGGUUACCCGCGAUAGGACGGAAAGACCCCAUGGAGCUUUACUGUAGCUUGAUAUUGAAGUUAGGUAAUUUAUGUAGAGGAUAGGUGGUAGACUAUGAUGUAUGGACGCCAGUUCAUACGGAGUCGCCCUUGGAAUACCACCCUUAAAUUAUUUGACCUCUAACUUACUCCCGUUAUCCGGGAGGAGGACAGUGUCUGGUGGGCAGUUUGACUGGGGCGGUCGCCUCCCAAAGAGUAACGGAGGCGCUCAAAGGUUCCCUCAGAUUGGUCGGAAAUCAAUCAAAGAGUGUAAUGGUAUAAGGGAGCUUGACUGCGAGACCUACAAGUCGAGCAGGUGCGAAAGCAGGACAUAGUGAUCUGGCGGUAGAAUAUGGAAUUGCCGUCGCUUAACGGAUAAAAGUUACCCUGGGG